GACGAACGCUGGCGGCGUGCUUAACACAUGCAAGUCGAACGGAAAGGCCCUGCUUUUGCGGGGUGCUCGAGUGGCGAACGGGUGAGUAACACGUGAGUAACCUGCCCUUGACUUUGGGAUAACUUCAGGAAACUGGGGCUAAUACCGGAUAGGAGCACCUGCUGCAUGGUGGGGGUUGGAAAGUUUCGGCGGUUGGGGAUGGACUCGCGGCUUAUCAGCUUGUUGGUGGGGUAGUGGCUUACCAAGGCUUUGACGGGUAGCCGGCCUGAGAGGGUGACCGGCCACAUUGGGACUGAGAUACGGCCCAGACUCCUACGGGAGGCAGCAGUGGGGAAUAUUGCACAAUGGGCGGAAGCCUGAUGCAGCAACGCCGCGUGCGGGAUGACGGCCUUCGGGUUGUAAACCGCUUUCGCCUGUGACGAAGCGUGAGUGACGGUAAUGGGUAAAGAAGCACCGGCUAACUACGUGCCAGCAGCCGCGGUGAUACGUAGGGUGCGAGCGUUGUCCGGAUUUAUUGGGCGUAAAGGGCUCGUAGGUGGUUGAUCGCGUCGGAAGUGUAAUCUUGGGGCUUAACCCUGAGCGUGCUUUCGAUACGGGUUGACUUGAGGAAGGUAGGGGAGAAUGGAAUUCCUGGUGGAGCGGUGGAAUGCGCAGAUAUCAGGAGGAACACCAGUGGCGAAGGCGGUUCUCUGGGCCUUUCCUGACGCUGAGGAGCGAAAGCGUGGGGAGCGAACAGGCUUAGAUACCCUGGUAGUCCACGCUGUAAACGGUGGGUACUGGGUGUGGGGUCCAUUCCACGGGUUCCGUGCCGUAGCUAACGCUUUAAGUACCCCGCCUGGGGAGUACGGCCGCAAGGCUAAAACUCAAAGGAAUUGACGGGGCCCCGCACAAGCGGCGGAGCAUGCGGAUUAAUUCGAUGCAACGCGUAGAACCUUACCUGGGUUUGACAUGGAUCGGGAGUGCUCAGAGAUGGGUGUGCCUCUUUUGGGGUCGGUUCACAGGUGGUGCAUGGCUGUCGUCAGCUCGUGUCGUGAGAUGUUGGGUUAAGUCCCGCAACGAGCGCAACCCUUGUUCACUGUUGCCAGCACGUUAUGGUGGGGACUCAGUGGAGACCGCCGGGGUCAACUCGGAGGAAGGUGGGGAUGACGUCAAGUCAUCAUGCCCCUUAUGUCCAGGGCUUCACGCAUGCUACAAUGGCUGGUACAGAGAGUGGCGAGCCUGUGAGGGUGAGCGAAUCUCGGAAAGCCGGUCUCAGUUCGGAUUGGGGUCUGCAACUCGACCUCAUGAAGUCGGAGUCGCUAGUAAUCGCAGAUCAGCAACGCUGCGGUGAAUACGUUCCCGGG
This 1343-nucleotide ribosomal RNA is filed under the name uncultured bacterium. Its description in RNAcentral is "16S ribosomal RNA". It matches the Rfam family "Bacterial small subunit ribosomal RNA", at positions 28 to 1378 of the family's 1533-position model. The record is from RNAcentral.